UACAGAGGUCUCAAGCGUUGUCCGGAUUUACUGGGCGUAAAGAGCGCGUAGGCGGCUCGGUAAGUGUGAAGCUAAAUCUCUGGGCUCAACCCAGAAACUAUUUCGCAUACUGCCAAGCUGGAGUGAUGAAGAGGUUUGUGGAAUUCCUGGUGUAGCGGUGGAAUGCGCAGAUAUCAGGAGGAACACCGGUGGCGAAGGCGGGUCUCUGGGCAGUAACUGACGCUGAGGAGCGAAAGCGUGGGGAGCGAACAGG
RNAcentral lists this ribosomal RNA (253 nucleotides) under uncultured bacterium. RNAcentral's name for it is "partial 16S ribosomal RNA". It matches the Rfam family "Bacterial small subunit ribosomal RNA", at positions 524 to 776 of the family's 1533-position model. The record is from RNAcentral.